AAUACAGGACACCCAGGUAAGUUUGAAUUUCAAAUAAACCAGGAAUACGUUUUUAGUAUAAUUAUGUCCCAUGCAAUAUUUGGGACAUACUUAUACUAAAAAAUUGUUUGUUGUUUACCUGAAAUUCAAAUUUAACUGGGCAUCUGUUUUU
This 151-nucleotide microRNA precursor is filed under the name Tursiops truncatus (common bottlenose dolphin). RNAcentral describes it as "miRNA (ENSTTRG00000022202.1)". The stretch from base 50 to 101 matches the Rfam family "mir-1302 microRNA precursor family". The record is from RNAcentral. Lineage: Eukaryota; Metazoa; Chordata; Mammalia; Artiodactyla; Delphinidae.